Molecule: ribosomal RNA, 460 nt
Filed under: uncultured bacterium
Lineage: Bacteria
Description: partial 16S ribosomal RNA
Rfam family: Bacterial small subunit ribosomal RNA
Source: RNAcentral
CCUACGGGAGGCAGCAGUGAGGAAUAUUGGUCAAUGGACGAGAGUCUGAACCAGCCAAGUAGCGUGAAGGAUGACUGCCCUAUGGGUUGUAAACUUCUUUUAUAUGGGAAUAAAACGUUCCACGUGUGGGAUUUUGUAUGUACCAUAUGAAUAAGGAUCGGCUAACUCCGUGCCAGCAGCCGCGGUAAUACGGAGGAUCCGAGCGUUAUCCGGAUUUAUUGGGUUUAAAGGGAGCGUAGGUGGAUUGUUAAGUCAGUUGUGAAAGUUUGCGGCUCAACCGUAAAAUUGCAGUUGAAACUGGCAGUCUUGAGUACAGUAGAGGUGGGCGGAAUUCGUGGUGUAGCGGUGAAAUGCUUAGAUAUCACGAAGAACUCCGAUUGCGAAGGCAGUUCACUGGACUGCAACUGACACUGAGGCUCGAAAGUGUGUGUAUCAAACAGGAUUAGAUACCCCGGUAGUC